This 253-nucleotide ribosomal RNA is filed under the name uncultured bacterium. RNAcentral's name for it is "partial 16S ribosomal RNA". It matches the Rfam family "Bacterial small subunit ribosomal RNA", at positions 524 to 776 of the family's 1533-position model. The record is from RNAcentral.
UACGGAGGGUGCGAGCGUUGUUCGGAAUCACUGGGCGUAAAGCGCGUGUAGGCGGCUUCUUAAGUCUGGUGUGAAAUCCCGGGGCUCACCCCCGGAAGUGCACUGGAUACUGGGAAGCUCGAGUACCGGAGAGGAGGGUGGAAUUCCUGGUGUAGCGGUGAAAUGCGUAGAUAUCAGGAGGAACACCUGUGGCGAAGGCGGCCCUCUGGACGGAUACUGACGCUGAGACGCGAAAGCGUGGGGAGCAAACGGG